This 496-nucleotide ribosomal RNA is filed under the name uncultured bacterium. RNAcentral describes it as "partial 16S ribosomal RNA". It matches the Rfam family "Bacterial small subunit ribosomal RNA", at positions 29 to 507 of the family's 1533-position model. The record is from RNAcentral.
AUGAACGCUGGCGGCGUGCCUAAUACAUGCAAGUCGCACGAACGGACGAGAAGCUUGCUUCUCUGAUGUUAGCGGCGGACGGGUGAGUAACACGUGGAUAACCUACCUAUAAGACUGGGAUAACUUCGGGAAACCGUAGCUAAUACCGGAUAAUAUUUUGAACCGCAUGGUUCAAAAGUGAAAGACGGUCUUGCUGUCACUUAUAGAUGGAUCCGCGCUGCAUUAGCUAGUUGGUAAGGUAACGGCUUACCAAGGCAACGAUGCAUAGCCGACCUGAGAGGGUGAUCGGCCACACUGGAACUGAGACACGGUCCAGACUCCUACGGGAGGCAGCAGUAGGGAAUCUUCCGCAAUGGGCGAAAGCCUGACGGAGCAACGCCGCGUGAGUGAUGAAGGUCUUCGGAUCGUAAAACUCUGUUAUUAGGGAAGAACAUAUGUGUAAGUAACUGUGCACAUCUUGACGGUACCUAAUCAGAAAGCCACGGCUAACUACGUG